UACGGAGGGUGCAAGCGUUGUCCGGAUUUACUGGGCGUAAAGCGCACGUAGGCGGUUUUGUAAGUUAGAGGUGAAAGCCCGGAGCUCAACUUCGGAAUUGCCUUUAAGACUGCAUCACUUGAACGUCGGAGAGGUGAGUGGAAUUCCGAGUGUAGAGGUGAAAUUCGUAGAUAUUCGGAAGAACACCAGUGGCGAAGGCGGCUCACUGGACCGUUGUUGACGCUGAGGUGCGAAAGCGUGGGGAGCAAACAGG
This 253-nucleotide ribosomal RNA is filed under the name uncultured bacterium. RNAcentral's name for it is "partial 16S ribosomal RNA". It matches the Rfam family "Bacterial small subunit ribosomal RNA", at positions 524 to 776 of the family's 1533-position model. The record is from RNAcentral.